Molecule: long non-coding RNA, 4625 nt
Organism: Cynoglossus semilaevis (tongue sole)
Lineage: Eukaryota; Metazoa; Chordata; Actinopteri; Pleuronectiformes; Cynoglossidae
Exons: 2
Source: RefSeq, a predicted model, not a curated record
AUUCACUUCUGAUUCCUUUAUCCAGGAUUAUUUACUCAACUCUGUGUCUUUCAGACUCUCUCUCUCUCUCUCUCUCUCCUUCCUUCUACCAUCGUCUCUGAUAUCACAGCCAAACCUGUGCGUCUAUCAAAAAGCAACUUUCUCACCAAAUCUGUCGACUCUGAAACAUAUUUCUUCAACAUUUUGCCCUUUCUGUUGGUCACUUUUCGACUUCUACAUUUCUUUUCCUGUCUCUCUUCUCUUCUUGCUGUCUCUCUUACUUGGCAGCAGGGCAAAAGUGGGCAGGGAGAGAGGAGGGCAUGGUCCAGAAACCGCUCUCAACCCCCAGCCCUUGUUCGAGUGGGGUUCCUCGCUUGUACGUUUCUCAGCCUUUCCCUCGUCUUGCAGGCGAAAAAGAAGGAUGUGGAAAUGCUUUCUCUUUUUCAUUCUCCUUUUUAAAAACCUGCCUUGAUUUCAAACCAUCGCAACCACGGCCUCCUGUGCAGGUGAACACUUGCCUGACCUGUACAGAAAAAGUCACCACCAAGCUUGGCACGCAGACAAUGCUGAAUUCUAGGCACCAAAUGUUGGAGAGAAAGCGAGAAGUCUAUUUCCUUACAGUCAUCCCUCAAAUUUUGCCGUUCGUCGUGGAUCUUCACCAAAAUGUGACGGGUAUUUUUUUCUCCUCAUGCCUUUGUCUGCUGAAUUCUCAAUUUGUCAGAAAUGUGAGACAGAGAAAAUAGCCCCAGGCUUUUUUGUCUAAAUUAACAGUUAAUUAACAUUGUCAGUGAUGCGUUGUUGUUUGUUCCGCUGCCUGUUUUCUUUCCAAACAACCCUUUUCUUAUUUUCUACAGCGCAGCCAUGUUUCUACCAGCAGGAGCAGUGAAAGUCAAAGCUUUAGACCAGGUUUAAAGGAAAACGUUCGCUGUCGUAUUUGAUGGCAGGUUUAACAUGAAUCACUGAUGCGUGGUUAAGGGAGGUUUGCAUCAAAAGGGACAGCAGGCAACUUUGGCUGUUGGCAGCGAAACAGAAACAACGAAAGCAAGUGUUUAGCCAAUAAAAACAUGGCUGCGUUUUCUUCAGACUUCCUACUAUACAAUUAUUUUGCUAAUAAACAAAAAAUCCUGCCAAGAUAUAUUUUAUCAUAAUGUCAUCCGGAGCCAUUUUAAUAAUCAAAAAAAUGAAUCUAAAAAAUCCAAUCCAAUAAUGCCUGGUAAGGUAGCAACCCAAAAACGAAAAUGGGUGCAUAGACAGGUUAGAUUGGUCCGGUGCCUCCAUGUCGAUUUUUUCUUCUUUAAAUUGUCUUUACUGGAACAAAUUUUGAAUUUGUUGAAUGUUGGUUGUACAAUUUUAAGAUCAAUAUUUGCAGUCACCUGUGUUUACCGUCAAAUUAAUUCAACAUCUUCAUCACAGCCUCUCACUCUCAGAUGCCCCUGUGCCAUUCAUCUGCCCCAAUGAGCACGACCUGGCAUCAGACUGGCAACGUCUGCCAAAACAUUUCAAUCACUGUCAGCAUUAAUUAGACCAACCAGGAACGCAGAAUGUUAAUGAACUGCCCAACUGCUUUUCAACCACCAUGGUUCACAUGCUAAUUUAUGCAAAGUGUCCUAGCCAUUGCAUGGACUGACUGUCGUCGUCUACAAAAACAGUGUCUGGAUGCAAUGGGCUCAGCCAAAGCAGGGCUCUGUCUGGACCCAGACAGCUCCGUUCUGCCCGUGCUCCAGACUCCAGCUGGCACAGUAAACAGUCACUGACAUUAAGUGGCUUUCACACCGACUAAAAAAACCCUGAAGUACAAAGGACAAUUCUCUAAAGUCAACUUUCUAGCUAAUCCCAACCUUCUUAAGCCAAUAAGUACACAUCAAAUUUCUAAACUUCUACUCGUCAGUUGGCUGCUAUCGGGCCUUUUUUAUUUUUUUUACACUUCCUUUGAGUAUGAAGAAUAUACAUAAGGAUUGUUUGCCAAAACCUAGAAGAAGAAGAAGAAGAAGAAGAAGAAGAAGAAGAAAGGACUAGAAAUGAACAGGUCUCUCCAUAGUUGUUGGAUUGACUCCUAAAACUGCACCAUGAAUAUAACUUUUUCUUGGCCUGCAUGUCGUUUGUAAGUUUAUUGUCUUAAUAUGAAACAUUAGAUUCUGUUUAUAUAAAAGUAAAGGGAGUAAUUUGCAAGAAAAAGUCUUGAAAGUGAACAACUAAGCAGUUUUGUUCUGUAUGUCAGGAAGUUGGCACCGAUAUUUGGCCCAGCUGCCGUUUGUUACGUGCCCACUUGUGUGAAAGUGAGUAGUUUUUUGUUUUUGCCAAAAAUUGGUCCUUUUUUAGUGUUGAAGUGCAUCUUGACUUUAGUACAUACAUAAAUGAAGAAUGUGUAUUUCGUUUGUUAACUGUAGGUCAAAUACUUGGUCUGACAGUUGCAAGUGACUCAAUCUUAGCAAAGAUAAAAACUGCUUUAUGUUUCUUUGUGUGGUGUUUAGUCAAAUACAUCAACUGUCAACAGUGUUGAUGUUGUAAAACAAAGGACACAAAAAUACAAGUAUUUUAACCAGAUUUUACUCCUGGUUUACUGUUGGACAAGUCUGUAGUUGUUAGGGACAUUUGGCAUGGCUUGUUGGCACAGAACUCAGUUAUUGUGUAAGGGGAACAGACCCAACCCAACAUCAUUCACAGUCAAAAAACACGUUUAAAUUAUUUCUGGCAGUACCUGGACAGGUAGAGUGAACUGAUUACCAACAUCAGCUAAAAUGCAUGUCACCAAGAGCUAAUGAAAAAGAAAAGGUCUGAUAGAGACAACAGUGUCAGAAGAAUACUGGUGUAGCACAAAUAUCACAACAAAGAAUAAACAGGCAGAGAAAAGGAACACUGGGCCACAGGAACUGAGGGAAGAUUGAUUGGUUGGUUUGGCAGUAGAAUCGCAAGUGCCUUCAAAAUGUUGUUCGCUGUUCAUAUCCUGCAAGAUUUUGAUGUGUUCAGUUUUAGUUGGUCUGACAGUCUAUUGACUGGUAUCCCUCUAGAGACACAGUUGUUAAAUGAGUAAUCGCCAGUCUUAGUUGUCGAAAAAAAAAAAAAAAAAAAAGUCAGUGAGAGCGUCCUCUUACAAAAACCUUGAAGUUGUAGCGUGUCCUGAGCUGACCUUUUUGGUUGCUUCCUGUAUAUUAUUGCCAUUAGCGUUCCGUCGCAUUCUUUACACCUUAAAAGAAUACCAUCUUUUUGUAAAGACUCCGCUCCUACUAAAUUACAUGCUGUGUAUGUAAGACUACACUCCCUCUGUUUAUAAAAUCUGAUAAUGUAGCUCUCCCUCCCUACCCUGCAGGGGAUGCUAUAAACACAAUUUGAAUUACUUUGUCCAAAAGUUGUGUGAUGCAGCACUUUAUUUAUUUUUAAUAUGAAUUUAAUUACAUUAUUCAGUCAAAGGUAUUUUCACACGAAGAACUGACAAAAAUUAAGUUCACAGGUGUCAGGUUGUGACAUACUAGAGCUAGCUGUUAAUUAAAGCAGAACAUGCCAUUGUAAGCCUGACCUGCCUGGGUGUGGUGAGUACCUGGAAGUACUCACUACUGAGAGUAUCUGCAGCUGUGCUGUUUAAAGUAGCUUUGUGCAAUUAAAAAUUCAUUUUCAAUGUCAUUGUAAAUGACAGUGUUCUGAAGAGGAGGGGCGCAAAUAAAAUAGAAUCAUGUUAGACAGAGGCAAUAAUAAUUGCCUCUGUAAUAAUAAUACAAUUACAGCUAUUAUGGUCAACAUAUAAAGUUUUCUUUUUAAAAGCUCUAAUACCCAUCAUCGGGUCCAUUUGUAGCUAACUUUAGCUCUUGUGUCUGUACCAGGACUGUGGUAGCUAACAUUAACUCACAACUAAAGAAAUCACCCAAAAAGCAACACGAUCUUGACUUCAAACACUAUGAUUCCAAACUGAAGUUAGUUUGCUUAAAGUUGGUGCUAUCAAACAACUAACAUAUUUCUAUUUUGUCUUACAGUUUGAUGGACAUAUUUCAACAAUCACCUGCAAAAACAACUGUCCUCAAGGAUGAGGUAGUAGAUUGAAUAGUUGUGGGGUUCACGUCCUCCCUCUGAGAUAACUAUGCAAUCUACUGUCUUUCCUAAGGAGACAGGAUGGUCUGCCAAGCUGUACGCACCUCUGGGGAUGGUGACCUACUGUAUCGUUCUGACAGCAUGUUCUAAAGUGUUCUUUUUUUGUGAGAUUCUGUUUCUUGAAGUUGAGCCUAGCAAGGUGAGGUAGUAGGUUGUAUAGUUUGUGGGAUGGAGUCAGUCCUACUCAGGCGAUAACUAUACAGUCUAUUACCUUCCUUGAGAGGUACAAUGAGUGCUUGGAAUAAAGUCUUCCUUCCCCUAAUCAUUUAGAGCUACUGCGAUGCCAUCUUGUGGUCAAAAUGAGCAUCACUGGAAAAAGUAUUACAGUAUUUGGUUGUUCAAAAAUGUAGUAAACACAAAAGGUCCCUAUACUAUGUGACUGUUAUCAAAGUCUUAAAAACAUAGUAAACUCCAGUACACACAUGUACAAACUAAAACUAUUUCUUACUUUUAUUGAAUGCCUCUCAUAAAGUCAAUACUGUAUAAAAGUAAAAAUUCAGUUUUAUGAUUAGCCAUGAGAUCUUUGUUAUUGAGAAACUAACAUAAAAUCUGUUUCAUAAAUCACA